RNAcentral lists this small RNA (29 nucleotides) under Bombyx mori (domestic silkworm). RNAcentral's name for it is "ovarian small RNA-28678". The record is from RNAcentral. Lineage: Eukaryota; Metazoa; Arthropoda; Insecta; Lepidoptera; Bombycidae.
UCGCCCUGACCGCGAUCGCACACUGCGGA